Molecule: ribosomal RNA, 433 nt
Filed under: uncultured bacterium
Lineage: Bacteria
Description: partial 16S ribosomal RNA
Rfam family: Bacterial small subunit ribosomal RNA
Source: RNAcentral
AACGAACGCUGGCGGCAUGCCUAACACAUGCAAGUCGAACGAGACCUUCGGGUCUAGUGGCGCACGGGUGCGUAACGCGUGGGAACCUGCCUUUAGGUCCGGAAUAACUCAGAGAAAUUUGAGCUAAUACCGGAUGAUGUCUUCGGACCAAAGAUUUAUCGCCUUUAGAUGGGCCCGCGUUGGAUUAGCUAGUUGGUGGGGUAAAGGCCUACCAAGGCGACGAUCCAUAGCUGGUCUGAGAGGAUGAUCAGCCACACUGGGACUGAGACACGGCCCAGACUCCUACGGGAGGCAGCAGUGGGGAAUAUUGGACAAUGGGCGAAAGCCUGAUCCAGCAAUGCCGCGUGAGUGAUGAAGGCCUUAGGGUUGUAAAGCUCUUUUACCCGAGAUGAUAAUGACAGUAUCGGGAGAAUAAGCGCCGGCUAACUCCGUG